This 406-nucleotide ribosomal RNA is filed under the name uncultured bacterium. RNAcentral's name for it is "partial 16S ribosomal RNA". It matches the Rfam family "Bacterial small subunit ribosomal RNA", at positions 30 to 526 of the family's 1533-position model. The record is from RNAcentral.
AUUGAACGCUGGCGGCAGGCCUAACACAUGCAAGUCGAGCGAGCGGCGGACGGGUGAGUAAUGUCUGGGAAACUGCCUGAUGGAGGGGGAUAACUACUGGAAACGGUAGCUAAUACCGCAUACCAUCAGAUGUGCCCAGAUGGGAUUAGCUAGUAGGUGGGGUAACGGCUCACCUAGGCGACGAUCUGUAGCGGGUCUGAGAGGAUGAUCCGCCACACUGGGACCGAGAAACGGCCCAGACUCCUACGGGAGGCAGCAGUGGGGAAUAUUUGACAAUGGGGGGAACCCUGAUCCAGCCAUGCCGCGUGUGUGAAGAAGGCCUUAUGGUUGGAAAGCACUUUAAGUGAGGAGGCGUUACUCGCAGAAUAAGCACCGGCUAACUCUGUGCCAGCAGCCGCGGUAAUUC